AUGACACGAAAAAAAAAAAAUAAUAAUAAAGCAGUGUUCGAUGGAGUUGUGCAACUUAGUAGUAGAUUGUACAUACUAUCCCUUAGAUCAUCGUGAUGGCACGAAGUACCAGUAAAUACUAAUAAAAAUUCCAAUUCCAUUUGAAGUUGACUUUAAGCAAAUUCGAGAUUCGAAAUAAUUGAAAUUUUAAAAGCUUUCCUAAAAAAAAAAGAGAGAGAAUAUCGAUCGAACUUCGUUAUCUCUUUCGUUUAUCAUAAUUAUUUCCGUGGCGUGACGCGUGCUUGUUCUACACAAGUGGAAAUAGAUGUCUUGCUAAAACUUCCUUCUUUCUUCCUUUGUUCCUUUCGCUCGUCCAUCUUUCACGUCACUCUACCGCCACGUUUUAUUCUUAUCCCGGAUGAAACGAUAACAUAAAACAGAGAAGAAUCGAUGUUUCUUCCCAAUGUUUCUUACACAAUCCGUUCGAAUCGAUCCCUCUGUCGAUUCAACCGGAUACAUAUAUAUAUAUAAACCUUCAUAUAUAAACCUCCCUUUCAUUCCUAACCUACUGGAAAAGUUUCAUCAGCGACGAAACUCGAUGCUUUCUACCAAAAUUUAUCGGAGCGAAAUCAUCAAACUCCGCGUUCGGAUAGAAAUUUAUCCGAACGAUGUUAAAUCCUAUCCCUCCUUUUUCCGAGAAGAGCUGAAUAACUCUCUGCUGACGUUUGUAAUAUCCCCCGGAAGAAGGGGAAGAACUAAUAGGUUCUUUGACGCAAAGAAUCCCCCCUCUCUCUCUCUCUCUUUCUCUCUCUCCCCCUCUCUUUAAAACUUUAAUUAACGGGAACCGGGAGAGGAGAGAGAUACCUCGGAAUGGAUACCCGUUUAACGAUUUAUAUACUGGCAGAUACAACGGAAGGGUAUCGUUACUCUUCGUUGACAAAUCAUUGAAUCGAGGCGAACUUUCCCAAACUCCGUUAAAGCAACCGACGAACGAGGACACCAGUCAAUUGGAAACUGAUUCCUCCUAUAUACACUGGUUGCUUCUGCUCCAACCAGAAAGUAGGAUCACGUACGAUUGAUAUAUCUGUCUUGGGGAAAAGUGGCCACCUCUUUCUCCACCGAGAAAGAGAGUAAAAAAGAAACUUGGAAGAAAGAGAUGAUUCUCUCUUUAUUUGUCAUUCGAUCGAAACCGUUUACAUUAAUAUUAUUAUUAAUUUUCUAUCGAUUCCUUAAUUAUCCAGGGUGGAAGGGGAAAGAUUUGAGAAUCUUUGGAGUUUUGAGAAUAGAAAUAUAAAUCGUGCUCGUACGGUUGAUGGUAUUUAUAAAUGGGAAGAAACAGAGCGUGAAAUCGGUGGAAAGUCUGGUGGUAAUAAUUUUUGAGAGUGCGCGUACUUAUUUUUAAUCGAUUUUAUUUAUAUUCGACUUUAGCUGGCUCGACUUGUCUUGUGGGUUUAGUUACCGGUCGAAUGGGAAUUUGUAGCUUGGACGGGAAUUUACGAUAUUCCCGUUCGAUUAUUUAUUUUCACUGUCACGACUUCCUUUUAUAAUCGUCGAGAUAAGACACCAUUAUUUCUUACUUUAUAAUAUAAAGAAGAAAUUUUCGAGUAAAUAUUUGAUCAAGCCGAACAAUAUAUGUUUGGAUCAACGAUUUUUCUAUGUAUAAAUAAUUCUAAUUGGAAAAUAACCGAUGAUAAUCUUAGAAACUACUUUGCAACUCCUUUGUGAAACGCGAUACAUAUAUGAAAAUCCAGAGCAUCCAACUUUUUCCCUUUAUCUCUCUUUUCUUUAAUUUCUUCUGCCGAAGAGAAAGAAAGAAAGAAGAUAUAUUAUUUUUGCCAAUUAAAAAGCAGGGAAAAAGAAAAUAAGAGAAGAAAUAAAGGAGGUGACCUGUUUACAUAACAUUUUAAAGAGAUUUAACAAAGUCGUUAUUUUUUACAAUUAAUUCUUUCUUCUCGAUCCGAUCGAUCUUUUUUAGCAGAGAUACCGAUAUCGUACGUAAUUUGUAUAUAUUUUAAAUUUAUUAAAAUAUUUUUUUUCUUCUCCUUUACACGUUCGUUAACGUGAUAUAUUUCUCAAAUGGAAACAACGUGAUGCACGAUGGUUCGGUUUUACGUUUCGUCCCUACGGUUAAAAACUGUUUCGAUAAAAACGAGAAAACCUCGGAAGGCGGUCGUUAGAAAAAGUUAACGAGAAAAGGAGAUGAAUUUCACGUGAUUGUGCGUCGGAGAGUCUGGUAUUUUUUCUUUUUCUUUUUCUUUUUUUCUUUUUUCACACUACACUAUUCAUCUCGAUAUUUCACGGUAAAUUUACUUAAACUACUUUUAAUUCAAACGACUAGGUCGUUCUUAGUCAUUUCUGUGACGUAUUUGCAAGAUUAAAAGUGGUAUUUGGUAAUUUAUGACUUCUUAAGCAGGGAAAAGGAAAUUUUCGUUAAUGUUCCAGCUUUCUUGGAAAAUUUAUGGACUUUACCUUUUCGAAGUAAAUAGAAAGAAAAAAAAAAGAAAUCUUUGAUUACAUUUUCAUUUUUAUGGAAUAAAACUUGCCACAAUUUCUCACAAUUUCAACGAACAAAAAUAUUCUCAAACGUUUAAAAAAAGAAAUCGAUAUUUCUCUUAAAUUGAUUUACGAGUAAUAAAAAUUGAAUCCAAUUAUAUAAAAAUUCGCGCGAAAAGCGUUUGAAGCGUCGGAAUAUAUAUUAAAGGGCGGAUGUGGCGGUAAAUAACCGGUUUUUCGUCGCAUCAAUUGCACGACGACGACGACGACGACGACGAGGACGACGACGUGGCCACUCCUUGUCGCGUGAUUCGCGUUCCACGUACGAGAUAAUGGCAGCUGGCCAAAACAAUCGCCGGCUGCUAAAUUUCCAGUCAACAAACAUUGGACGUGGGCCAAGUGCUAUCCUGUCGCCGCCGCCGCCGCUGCUGCUAGUGCUGCUGCUUGCUCUUUGCUCCGAGAGAUACUUUUAUCCUAGGACCGUUGCCAUCAUCGUCGCCGCCGGCUUCUUGUCUCGAAAUCUCAACCAAGGGCCCCUCUCCGUCUUCUGAAUAAAUAAUCUCGUUUUUUCAGACAGGUUGAUUCAUGGUCCACCGUCCGUCUUAGCCACCACUGACGACGAGUAUUUUAACGUCGAUGCACAUUUAACGGUACAAAGUAAAAAAAAAAAAAAAAAAAAAAAAAAAAAAAAAGAAGCAAUAUAA
Molecule: long non-coding RNA, 3176 nt
Organism: Apis mellifera (honey bee)
Lineage: Eukaryota; Metazoa; Arthropoda; Insecta; Hymenoptera; Apidae
Exons: 2
Source: RefSeq, a predicted model, not a curated record